CUACAGGUGCGUGCCACUGCCUCAGGCUUCGGCUUGUUUUUUAUAUAUCCUGACUCAUCAUCGUUUUUCAAUCAUAAAAUUAUGAUUCUUAUUGUAGUUGUAAAUUUUAAUUCACUUUAACAUGGCAACAUAUUAACAGAUUCUUAUUGAGCAAAUUUUCAAGAUUAUAAAUUGUACAUGGAAGGAAGCAGCAUUUCCAGUUGACAAAUGGAUCCACAGGUAAUUCGACGUCUCCUAAAUUAAGCUUGUGACGAUUAAACCAAUACAUUGUAGCUAUGAGAAAACUAUUGACAAAGUACAACCAGGGAACUCAUCUCAAUGCUGGAAUCUGUACCUUAAGAAAAAGGAUGAUUACUUGAAGUGGUACAAAUGGCAACCAGGUACCAAGAAAACAGUGAGUUUGGGCAAGUGUAAUUUUUUAGAGCUCACAGUAUAUCUAGAAUGGGAUGAAAAGGAAGAAGAUACAGGAUAGUCUCAUUCAUAUAGAAAGUUAUCCUAAACUCAUGUAACAAAGAGGUUAUAAAAACCAUAAAAUCAUCAGGAAAAAUGACAGCCACUAACCCUGAAUGCUGACAUAGAAAGGACAUUGAUGAGAAUAAACAUUCUGUGCCUUCAGGCUUUGGCAGAUGGCUGGGUCUCCCAAAACGUAAGCAAGGACUGAAAUCUAAAUUGAAAUUACUGCAAAGAAAUAAAAAUAACUUUGAUGCUUAAGGGAAAUUUGGUGGUUUUCGAGAAAUUCAGGCAAUCAUCUAUACAAACUAUCAGGAAAACUGGAUAAUGCAAAAAGCCUUUAAGUAAAGGAUAUCAUUUGAGUAAAUAGGCAGAUGUGGUAUUUAGUAAACCUACUGCCUGAAAGUACAGAAUUCCUGAAAUAGGAGACAAUGGAAAUGUUUACCAAAAGUAAUAGAUCAAUGGAUGCUGGUGAAAUGUAAAAAUGUUCCAUAAAAUUUGAUAGGUAUAUUUUCUUCUCAUUCUUAGGGUGAGGCUAUUUAAUAAUAUUUUCCCAAGUGCAAUCAGACAGUUCACAUCUAAGGACUGCUUGUUUGCUGUGACUGGUGCUGAGAAGAGCAGUUCUCUAAAUAAAGGGCCAUCGUGUUUUAAAUUUCAGAAAGUCUGGUGAAACACAUACCAUAAAAUGCUGCUUCACUUUAUUUUCCAUCAUCUGCUUUCUCCCAUGGGUCUUUCUUGGCUGAUUAUCUCCCUAUUUUAUUUCGGUUUUACUGCCUUUAAUUAUCUCAUUUUGAGCUCCCUGGCGUUUUGUUUUAUCACAAUGUCACGUGAAUAAGCUCUGAGUCAUUUGCACAAGUUGGGGAGAAAGCAGAAGAGGGAUCUGCUCCCAGCUGGACAUCCCUCUGAAGUCUCAUGCCCCCCGUCGACCCCCGCCAACUCCCUGGCCACCCAGGAGCAUCAUGGUCUGAGUCCCAGGUUGGCUGAUGCUCAGCUCCCCUGCACUGGAGAACUCUUCCUAAAACUUUAUUGAGAGAGAAAAAAGAUGACUUGGAAAAAAUAGAAAGUCAUACUAUGAUCUGCUGGGCAUGGUGGCUCACGCCUGUAAUCCCAGCACUUUGGGAGGCCAAGGCGGGCAGAUCACUUGAGGCCAGGAGUUCAAGACCAGUCUGGCCAACAUGGUGAAAACCAGUCUCUAUUAAAAAUACAAAAAUUAGUGAGGUGUGGUGGUGGGCGCCUGUAAUCCCAGCUACUCAGGGGUCUGAGGCAGAAGAAUCAGUUGAACCCGGGAGGCGGAAGUUGCACUGAGCCGAGAUCACACCACUGCACUCCAGCCUGGGCAACACAGCCAGACCCAUCUCAAAAAACACACAAACAAACAAACAAAAAACAGCCGGGCACGGUGGCUCACGCCUGUAAUCCCAGCACUUUGGGAGGCUGAAGCGGGUGGAUCAUGAGGUCAGGAGAUCAAGACCAUCCUGGCUAACAUGGUGAAACCCUGUCUCUACUAAAAAUAUAAAAAAUUAGCUGGGCGUGGUGGCGGGUGCCUGCAGUCCUAGCUACUUGGGAAGCUGAGGCAGGAGAAUGGCGUGAACCUGGGAGGCGGAGCUUGCAGUGAGCCGAGAUCGCACCACUGCACUCCAGCCUGGGCGACAGACAGAGACUCUGUCUCCAAAAAAAAAAAAAAAAA
This 2137-nucleotide long non-coding RNA is filed under the name Macaca fascicularis (crab-eating macaque). Its description in RNAcentral is "lncRNA (ENSMFAG00000047767.1)". Lineage: Eukaryota; Metazoa; Chordata; Mammalia; Primates; Cercopithecidae. The record is from RNAcentral.